RNAcentral lists this ribosomal RNA (449 nucleotides) under uncultured bacterium. RNAcentral's name for it is "bacterial SSU rRNA". It matches the Rfam family "Bacterial small subunit ribosomal RNA", at positions 354 to 826 of the family's 1533-position model. The record is from RNAcentral.
UCGGGGAAUUUUGGGCAAUGGGCGAAAGCCUGACCCAGCAACGCCGCGUGAAGGAUGAAGUAUUUCGGUAUGUAAACUUCGAAAGAAUAGGAAGAAUAAAUGACGGUACUAUUUAUAAGGUCCGGCUAACUACGUGCCAGCAGCCGCGGUAAUACGUAGGGACCAAGCGUUAUUCGGAUUUACUGGGCGUACAGGGAGCGUAGGCGGUUUGGUAAGCCCUCUGUGAAAUCUCCAGGCUUAACCUGGAAAAGUCGGAGGGGACUGCUGGGCUAGAGGACGGGAGAGGAGCGCGGAAUUCCCGGUGUAGCGGUGAAAUGCGUAGAGAUCGGGAGGAAGGCCGGUGGCGAAGGCGGCGCUCUGGAACGUUUCUGACGCUGAGGCUCGAAAGCGUGGGGAGCAAACAGGAUUAGAUACCCACGUAGUCCCUGAGCGGGCUGGCAAGGCGCGAU